This 65-nucleotide transfer RNA is filed under the name Brumptomyia travassosi. RNAcentral's name for it is "tRNA-Tyr". The record is from RNAcentral. Lineage: Eukaryota; Metazoa; Arthropoda; Insecta; Diptera; Psychodidae.
GGUUAAAUGGCUGAUAAUAGGUAAUAAAUUGUAAAUUUAUUUAUAGAUAUGAAUAUCUUUUAACC